UACAGAGGGGGCAAGCGUUAUUCGGAAUUAUUGGGCGUAAAGGGCGCGUAGGCGGCCAUUCAAGUGACGGGUGAAAGCCCUCGGCUUAACCGAGGAACUGCCUGUCAGACUGGAUGGCUUGAGACCGGGAGAGGUGAGUGGAAUUCCCAGUGUAGCGGUGAAAUGCGUAGAUAUUGGGAGGAACACCAGUGGCGAAGGCGGGUCUCUGGGCCGUAACUGACGCUGAGGAGCGAAAGCAUGGGGAGCGAACAGG
This 253-nucleotide ribosomal RNA is filed under the name uncultured bacterium. RNAcentral describes it as "partial 16S ribosomal RNA". It matches the Rfam family "Bacterial small subunit ribosomal RNA", at positions 524 to 776 of the family's 1533-position model. The record is from RNAcentral.